RNAcentral lists this transfer RNA (21 nucleotides) under Plethodon larselli (Larch Mountain salamander). RNAcentral describes it as "partial tRNA-Ser". The record is from RNAcentral. Lineage: Eukaryota; Metazoa; Chordata; Amphibia; Caudata; Plethodontidae.
GAGAAGAGAAGAAACCCCAGA